RNAcentral lists this ribosomal RNA (253 nucleotides) under uncultured bacterium. Its description in RNAcentral is "partial 16S ribosomal RNA". It matches the Rfam family "Bacterial small subunit ribosomal RNA", at positions 524 to 776 of the family's 1533-position model. The record is from RNAcentral.
UACGGGGGGGGCAAGCGUUGUUCGGAAUUACUGGGCGUAAAGCGCGUGUAGGCGGCUCGGAAAGUCGGAUGUGAAAGCCCUGGGCUUAACCUAGGAAGUGCAUUCGAAACUCCCGAGCUUGAGUUCUGGAGAGGAAGGCGGAAUUCUCGGUGUAGAGGUGAAAUUCGUAGAUAUCGAGAGGAACACCGGUGGCGAAGGCGGCCUUCUGGACAGUGACUGACGCUGAGACGCGAAAGCGUGGGGAGCAAACAGG